Molecule: ribosomal RNA, 793 nt
Filed under: uncultured bacterium
Lineage: Bacteria
Description: bacterial SSU rRNA
Rfam family: Bacterial small subunit ribosomal RNA
Source: RNAcentral
AGAGUUUGAUCCUGGCUCAGAUUGAACGCUGGCGGCAUGCCUUACACAUGCAAGUCGAACGGCAGCACGGAGCUUGCUCUGGUGGCGAGUGGCGAACGGGUGAGUAAUAUAUCGGAACGUACCCUAGAGUGGGGGAUAACGUAGCGAAAGUUACGCUAAUACCGCAUACGAUCUAAGGAUGAAAGUGGGGGAUCGCAAGACCUCAUGCUCGUGGAGCGGCCGAUAUCUGAUUAGCUAGUUGGUAGGGUAAAAGCCUACCAAGGCAUCGAUCAGUAGCUGGUCUGAGAGGACGACCAGCCACACUGGAACUGAGACACGGUCCAGACUCCUACGGGAGGCAGCAGUGGGGAAUUUUGGACAAUGGGCGAAAGCCUGAUCCAGCAAUGCCGCGUGAGUGAAGAAGGCCUUCGGGUUGUAAAGCUCUUUUGUCAGGGAAGAAACGGUGAAAGCUAAUAUCUUUUGCUAAUGACGGUACCUGAAGAAUAAGCACCGGCUAACUACGUGCCAGCAGCCGCGGUAAUACGUAGGGUGCAAGCGUUAAUCGGAAUUACUGGGCGUAAAGCGUGCGCAGGCGGUUUUGUAAGUCUGAUGUGAAAUCCCCGGGCUCAACCCGGGAAUUGCAUUGGAGACUGCUAGGCUAGAAUCUGGCAGAGGGGGGUAGAAUUCCACGUGUAGCAGUGAAAUGCGUAGAUAUGUGGAGGAACACCGAUGGCGAAAGCAGCCCCCUGGGGUCAAGAUUGACGCUCAUGCACUAAAGCGUGGGGAGCAAACAGGAUUAGAUACCCUGGUACUC